RNAcentral lists this ribosomal RNA (497 nucleotides) under uncultured bacterium. RNAcentral's name for it is "partial 16S ribosomal RNA". It matches the Rfam family "Bacterial small subunit ribosomal RNA", at positions 28 to 507 of the family's 1533-position model. The record is from RNAcentral.
GAUGAACGCUGGCGGCGUGCCUAAUACAUGCAAGUCGAGCGAACGGACGAGAUGCUUGCUUCUCUGAUGUUAGCGGCGGACGGGUGAGUAACACGUGGAUAACCUACCUAUAAGACUGGGAUAACUUCGGGAAACCGGAGCUAAUACCGGAUAAUAUUUUGAACCGCAUGGUUCAAAAGUGAAAGACGGUCUUGCUGUCACUUAUAGAUGGAUCCGCGCUGCAUUAGCUAGUUGGUAAGGUAACGGCUUACCAAGGCAACGAUGCAUAGCCGACCUGAGAGGGUGAUCGGCCACACUGGAACUGAGACACGGUCCAGACUCCUACGGGAGGCAGCAGUAGGGAAUCUUCCGCAAUGGGCGAAGGCCUGACGGAGCAACGCCGCGUGAGUGAUGAAGGUCUUCGGAUCGUAAAACUCUGUUAUUAGGGAAGAACAUAUGUGUAAGUAACUGUGCACAUCUUGACGGUACCUAAUCAGAAAGCCACGGCUAACUACGUG